Molecule: ribosomal RNA, 733 nt
Filed under: uncultured bacterium
Lineage: Bacteria
Description: bacterial SSU rRNA
Rfam family: Bacterial small subunit ribosomal RNA
Source: RNAcentral
GGAAUUAAAUACCCCGGUAGCCCAUGCCGUAAACGAUGGGUACUAGGUGUUGGAGGAUUCUACCCCUUCAGGGCCGCAGCUAACGCAUUAAGUACCCCACCUGGGGAGUACGAUCGCAAGGUUGAAACUCAAAGGAAUUGACGGGGGCCCGCACAAGCGGGGGAGCAUGUGGUUUAAUUCGACGCAACGCGAARAACCUUACCUGGGCUUGACAUACAGGGGACAGGUGUAGAAAUACAUCCUUCUUCGGACUCCUGUACAGGUGCUGCAUGGCUGUCGUCAGCUCGUGUCGUGAAAUGUUAGGUUAAGUCCUGCAACGAGCGCAACCCUUGUCUUUAGUUGCCAACACGUAAUGGUGGGAACUCUAGAGAGACUGCCGGUGAUAAACCGGAGGAAGGUGGGGACGACGUCAAGUCAUCAUGGCCCUUACGCCCAGGGCUACACACGUGCUACAAUGGUCGGUACAAAGGGCUGCAAUACAGCGAUGUGGAGCGAAUCCCAAAAAGCCGGCCUCAGUUCGGAUCGGAGUCUGCAACUCGACUCCGUGAAGUUGGAAUCGCUAGUAAUCGCGUAUCAGAACGACGCGGUGAAUACGUUCCCGGGCCUUGUACACACCGCCCGUCAAGUCAACCGAGUUGGCUGCACCCCAAGUCGCUGAGCUAACCUCUUCGGAGGAAGCAGGUGCCCAAGGUGUGGUUAGCGAGGGGGACUAAGUCGUAACAAGGUAGCCGUA